This 563-nucleotide ribosomal RNA is filed under the name uncultured bacterium. Its description in RNAcentral is "bacterial SSU rRNA". It matches the Rfam family "Bacterial small subunit ribosomal RNA", at positions 338 to 916 of the family's 1533-position model. The record is from RNAcentral.
CCUACGGGAGGCAGCAGUGGGGAAUCUUGCGCAAUGGGCGAAAGCCUGACGCAGCAACGCCGCGUGCGGGAAGAAGGCUUUCGGGCUGUAAACCGCUUUCAGCAGGAACGAAAAUGACGGUACCUGCAGAAGAAGGAGCGGCCAACUAUGUGCCAGCAGCCGCGGUGAUACAUAGGCUUCAAGCGUUGUCCGGAUUUAUUGGGCGUAAAGAGUUCGUAGGCGGUCGAGUAAGUCGGGUGUGAAAAUUCUGGGCUCAACCCAGAGACGCCACCCGAUACUGCUUGACUUGAGUUCGAUAGGGGAGUGGGGAAUUCCUAGUGUAGCGAUGAAAUGCGCAGAUAUUAGGAGGAACACCGGUGGCGAAGGCGCCACUCUGGAUCGAUACUGACGCUGAGGAACGAAAGCAUGGGUAGCAAACAGGAUUAGAUACCCUGGUAGUCCAUGCCGUAAACGGUGGGCACUAGGUGUGGGUUUCUAUUAACGAAAUCCGNGCCGUCGCUAACGCAUUAAGCGCCCCGCCUGGGGAGUACGGUCGCAAGACUAAAACUCAAAUGAAUUGACGG